CCUACGGGAGGCUGCAGUGGGGAAUUUUUCGCAAUGGGGGCAACCCUGACGAAGCAAUGCCGCGUGGAUGAUGAAGUAUCUCGGUACGUAAAAUCCUUUCGACGGGGACGCGGUACCCGUAGAAGAAGCCCCGGCUAACUCCGUGCCAGCAGCCGCGGUAAUACGGGGGGGGCAAGCGUUGUUCGGAAUUACUGGGCGUAAAGGGUGCGUAGGCGGCUUUCUAAGUUGGAUGUGAAAACUCUGGGCUCAACCCAGAGCCUGCAUCCAAAACUGGAGAGCUAGGGUUCUGGAGGGGAAAGCGGAAUUCCUGGUGUAGCGGUGAAAUGCGUAGAUAUCAGGAGGAACACCGGUGGCGAAGGCGGCUUUCUGGACAGAACCGACGCUGAGGCACGAAAGCUAGGGGAGCAAACAGGAUUAGAUACCCUUGUAGUC
This 432-nucleotide ribosomal RNA is filed under the name uncultured bacterium. RNAcentral's name for it is "partial 16S ribosomal RNA". It matches the Rfam family "Bacterial small subunit ribosomal RNA", at positions 338 to 795 of the family's 1533-position model. The record is from RNAcentral.